This 440-nucleotide ribosomal RNA is filed under the name uncultured bacterium. RNAcentral describes it as "partial 16S ribosomal RNA". It matches the Rfam family "Bacterial small subunit ribosomal RNA", at positions 338 to 795 of the family's 1533-position model. The record is from RNAcentral.
CCUACGGGUGGCAGCAGUGGGGGAUAUUGCACAAUGGGGGCAACCCUGAUGCAGCGACGCCGCGUGUGGGAAGAAGGUCCUCUGGUUUGUAAACCCCUGUCCCAAGGGACGAAGAUGACGGUACCUGGGGAGGAAGCUCCGGCUCACUACGUGCCAGCAGACGCGGUAAUACGUAGGGAGCGAGCGUUGUCCGGAAUUACUGGGUGUAAAGGGAGCGUAGGCGGGGAUGAAAGUUGGGUGUCAAAACUACCGGCUCAACUGGGAGUCGCACUCAAAACUGCAGCUCUUGAGUGAAGUAGAGGCAGGCGGAAUUCCUAGUGUAGCGGUGAAAUGCGUAGAUAUUAGGAGGAACACCAGUGGCGAAGGCGGCCUGCUGGGCUUUUACUGACGCUGAGGCUCGAAAGUGUGGGGAGCAAACAGGAUUAGAUACCCUUGUAGUC